AGUUGCUAUCCAGGGGAGUAUUUGUCUUGAAAACAAAUUUUGAGUGUUCGAUUCACUCGGUAACUU
Molecule: transfer RNA, 66 nt
Filed under: Polinices sagamiensis
Lineage: Eukaryota; Metazoa; Mollusca; Gastropoda; Littorinimorpha; Naticidae
Description: tRNA-Ser
Rfam family: tRNA
About the family: Transfer RNA (tRNA) molecules are approximately 80 nucleotides in length.
Source: RNAcentral